Molecule: ribosomal RNA, 292 nt
Filed under: uncultured bacterium
Lineage: Bacteria
Description: partial 16S ribosomal RNA
Rfam family: Bacterial small subunit ribosomal RNA
Source: RNAcentral
GUGUCAGCAGCCGCGGUAAUACGUAGGUGGCGAGCGUUACUCGGAAUCACUGGGCAUAAAGGGCGUGUAGGCGGGUGCGUAAGUCCGGUGUGAAAGCCCCCGGCUCAACCGGGGAAGGCCAUCGGAUACUGCGUGUCUUGAGUGUGGGAGAGGAGAGUGGAACUCUUGGUGGAGCGGUGAAAUGCGUAGAUAUCAAGAGGAACGCCGGUGGCGAAAGCGACUCUCUGGCCCAUUACUGACGCUGAGGCGCGAAAGCCAGGGGAGCAAACGGGAUUAGAAACCCCAGUAGUCC